GACGAACGCUGGCGGCGUGCCUAAUACAUGCAAGUAGAACGCUGAAGGAGGAGCUUGCUUCUCUGGAUGAGUUGCGAACGGGUGAGUAACGCGUAGGUAACCUGCCUGGUAGCGGGGGAUAACUAUUGGAAACGAUAGCUAAUACCGCAUAAGAGUAGAUGUUGCAUGACAUUUGCUUAAAAGGUGCAAUUGCAUCACUACCAGAUGGACCUGCGUUGUAUUAGCUAGUUGGUGGGGUAACGGCUCACCAAGGCGACGAUACAUAGCCGACCUGAGAGGGUGAUCGGCCACACUGGGACUGAGACACGGCCCAGACUCCUACGGGAGGCAGCAGUAGGGAAUCUUCGGCAAUGGACGGAAGUCUGACCGAGCAACGCCGCGUGAGUGAAGAAGGUUUUCGGAUCGUAAAGCUCUGUUGUAAGAGAAGAACGAGUGUGAGAGUGGAAAGUUCACACUGUGACGGUAUCUUACCAGAAAGGGACGGCUAACUACGUGCCAGCAGCCGCGGUAAUACGUAGGUCCCGAGCGUUGUCCGGAUUUAUUGGGCGUAAAGCGAGCGCAGGCGGUUAGAUAAGUCUGAAGUUAAAGGCUGUGGCUUAACCAUAGUACGCUUUGGAAACUGUUUAACUUGAGUGCAAGAGGGGAGAGUGGAAUUC
Molecule: ribosomal RNA, 656 nt
Filed under: uncultured bacterium
Lineage: Bacteria
Description: bacterial SSU rRNA
Rfam family: Bacterial small subunit ribosomal RNA
Source: RNAcentral